RNAcentral lists this ribosomal RNA (916 nucleotides) under uncultured bacterium. Its description in RNAcentral is "bacterial SSU rRNA". It matches the Rfam family "Bacterial small subunit ribosomal RNA", at positions 246 to 1155 of the family's 1533-position model. The record is from RNAcentral.
UUGUUGGUAAGGUAAAAGCUUACCAAGGCUUCGAUCAGUAGCUGGUCUGAGAGGACGACCAGCCACACUGGGACUGAGACACGGCCCAGACUCCUACGGGAGGCAGCAGUGGGGAAUUUUGGACAAUGGGGGCAACCCUGAUCCAGCCAUGCCGCGUGAGUGAAGAAGGCCUUCGGGUUGUAAAGCUCUUUCAGCCGGAACGAAACGGUUACGGAUAACACCCGUGACUACUGACGGUACCGGAAGAAGAAGCACCGGCUAACUACGUGCCAGCAGCCGCGGUAAUACGUAGGGUGCGAGCGUUAAUCGGGAUUACUGGGCGUAAAGCGUGCGCAGGUGGUUUUGUAAGUCAGAUGUGAAAGCCCCGGGCUCAACCUGGGAACUGCGUUUGAAACUACAAGACUAGAGUGUGGCAGAGGGGGGUGGAAUUCCGCGUGUAGCAGUGAAAUGCGUAGAGAUGUGGAGGAACACCGAUGGCGAAGGCAGCCCCCUGGGUCAACACUGACGCUCAGGCACGAAAGCAUGGGGAGCAAACAGGAUUAGAUACCCUGGUAGUCCAUGCCCUAAACGAUGUCAACUAGUUGUCGGGCCUUUACGGGCUUGGUAACGUAGCUAACGCGUGAAGUUGACCGCCUGGGGAGUACGAUCGCAAGAUUAAAACUCAAAUGAAUUGACGGGGACCCGCACAAGCGGUGGAUUAUGUGGAUUAAUUCGAUGCAACGCGAAAAACCUUACCUACCCUUGACAUGUAUCGAAGCCCGCAGAAAAGCGGGGGUGCCCGAAAGGGAACGAUAACACAGGUGCUGCAUGGCUGUCGUCAGCUCGUGUCGUGAGAUGUUGGGUUAAGUCCCGCAACGAGCGCAACCCUUGUCAUUAAUUGCCAUCAUUUAGUUGGGCACUUUAAUGAGACUGCCGG